This is a long non-coding RNA of Tyto alba (common barn owl), 4090 nucleotides long. RefSeq lists it as uncharacterized. The transcript has 4 exons. Lineage: Eukaryota; Metazoa; Chordata; Aves; Strigiformes; Tytonidae. The record is from RefSeq and is a predicted model, not a curated record.
CUCCAUCACUGGAGGAACCACUCUGGCGCAUCUUGCUAGAAUCUGGUGGCUCUGGGCUAACAGAAGACGCUGUAGGAGCAGCAUUUGUCUCCUUGCUGAUCCAGCCAUGUCACUGACAACACUACACAUGAACAAAGACAUCCUGACGCACUCUGCUUAAGACUACCAAUUUGGGCCAGGGAAACAAUUCCAGAACAUAUUACCAGUGCUGCAGGAUCAAACUGGGACACCACAUGAUGCAGAAGAACAGCCAGUAUCUUGAACCUCAGUCUUUUCUGGGCUCUCAUCCGGAUAAAUCCGCUCCUUCAAGCCACUGCGAGGACUCUGGGAAAGAAGGAAGUUCAGUUCUGAUGUGAAGGAGCCAUUUUCUCCAUAUAUGAAGAGCAACAGAUGGAGCAGGAUAUUCAUCACACUUCAAACUAUGGUGAUGUUCUUGCUCAGUGAAGCUGCCUCCCAGUAGCUGCAGAGACGUGAUGAAAAAAAAAAAAAAAAAAAAGAUGGGGAAAGGAAUAGGUUCUCUCUGCCUGGCUGAAUUCCAGCAAGAGCAUUUAGCUUUGCAGGCUGCCUAAAACUCAAACCUGUUGCGAGGCUAUUUCCUCUCCCUCUUCAAGCUAAGUUUAAUUAUCUGCUUCUGCUUUGCAUGUGACCCAGGAGCUCUGCAAAAGAACCUCCUCCAGUAAAGCUGGUGCCAACUGUCAAAACAAGCCACGAUCAGCACACAGUGACUCUUCCACUGGCACCCGCCAGGCAGCAUUACUCUAUCACAACCUGGCAAGCACAUUUCACCCUAUGAGAAAAAAAGUGGUUUUCUGGCCUAAACCAGGGACUGUGUGUCUGGAUGGCUCUAGCCAGAGCACAGCCAGAUAGCCCAUCUACAGAGGGGGAGACAAAAGCAUGGAUGAACAGGUGCAGACACCAAAAAACAUAGUUAAAGUCUUGCUGAUAAGUGCAAAACCUGAUAAGUCGUCUACUAAAAGGAAAAGGGAGAGGAGGUCAAGGUUUGCUAUGCAAUAUGUACAGCUGAAGUUGCACUGGUUAACAUCCAAAGUAAACAACACUCCAGCAUUUAAACCUAUCACCAACAUUCCUACGUCUUUCCACAGUGGAAGAACAAAAAAGUGUGCUUGUCUUUUUUGUUUUGGUUUCUUUCUUUUUGUAUUACAGGGUUUUAUUCUCACAACAAUUUCCAUAAUGUGAGUGGGCUGAACACUUUAUUUAACUUCAUAGGCCCGACAUAUCUGAGUGUAAAACUUGGGGCUUUCAGUACUAUUCAAAGGGCUGCAGCGCUUGGCAAAACUGCACUUACCAACCGUUGAGUAAGUAUUAAUAAACUCAUACACCGAGGCACCUGCCACUGAAGCAACCUGUCCUGGCUUUGAGUGAGUGGUGGCAUUUUUGGGUAGCAGGGGAGGGGGCUACAGCUGGUGAGAACCAGAUACAGAGAGAAGUUAUUUUAGAACAUGUAUCCAUUUCCAAACUACUACAAGGUAUUUUCCUUUACUGCUGAAGGCUAUCAUAACUCAAGGGCAGAGAAGUCUGUGACAAAUGCAUUCAUUUUACCAGUGCUCUACUAACUUUGACACAUCCUUAAAACAAAGAAAAUCCCACAACAAUUGCAAAUGGUGCUCUCUGCAGUAUCCCCGUACCACCUUCACCAGCCAAAAUGAUUGAGCUUGUUGGUUUGCUAAGAUCAGAUCUGCACCCACAUGAACCACUUCCGCUACUGAAACCGCAGGGACUACGCAGGGCAAACCACAACCUAUCAUUUUGUGUCUCUCAACAGACAGCAAGAACAAAUUGCCAACUAGAGAGCUGCAGUUCCUCAUUAUGAGAUCUCUUUAGCUAAGAACUUUUAUCCUCGACACAGAAGUAUUUGAUAAACCAUCAUUCCCCACCACCCUUACAUUAGGGAGUUCACAUCAUAUAAAUUCAUUCCUUUCUCUCUAUUACAGUUCCCCCUGAAUAUAUUUUCAAAGUUGUUAUGAUGCUGCCUACCUAAGUCAGAUUAGACGGCUACACAGCAGUCUGCAGCAGUGGAGAAAAUCACACGUUUAAAACCAGAAACGAUUUGAGAACAGCAGCUUAAUUUUGCCUCAAGUCACUGCCUAAUUUGGGACAUAACAUAAUUUUUCAGAGGGUGGAAAAAACAUCCUAUCGACACAGAUCAGAAAACUGCAUUAUUUUCUUACUUGCAAGCACCAACUUUGAAAGCAACUUAACAAGAGAACAGGAAUCAUUAUCAUGGCUCAAAUACUGUCACAUGGGACUUGCCAUCACUGCAACCCAAGCAAAAUUUUAGAAGGCAUUACAACAGCUGAAACAGUCUUCUGGUCCCAAAUAAACAGUAUCUGCCUCCUCAAGAAACAGACAGGUACUCCCAGACACCGAACACCUAUCUUCUGUCCUCCACAGAAAACUCAACAGUUGUAGCCCUGGCUUGUCAGGGUUUUUAGCCUUACACCAGCAGGUCUUAGUCCUCUAGGGCUGACGUGUGCCUUCAGAAUGCACUGGCAGACAGGAAACCUCUCUCCUAUCUGGCAGUUGCCACCACCUCUCCCAUUUCUGUCCCUCUCACUCAUUUCCUAUUGACUUUCUCGUGUCUUACAUUGCAGCUUUUUCCUAUUUCCUUUUUUUCCUCGCUAAUUAUAGCGUCUCUCCUUCAAUUCUCUCCCCCUUUUUCCAACACUUUUCUGGGAGCUUUGAUCUCAGUCCCUACUCAUCAGAAUAUUCUUUUGCAUCUGGGCACAACGGAGGCAUGCAAUGGUGCCUCUGUGCCACGACAGUACUGAGAGGAGAUGCCUUGUCUGAUGUGCUGCCAAUAAGCUACACUAACAGCCACUAUCAUAACAGGGUAAAAAGACUUUCAAGCGGCAAUCAGAUACUUCAGGUAAGCCUGCAGGUUGAAGCUUGUCUGUUUAUGGGAGUGGUGGACUCAGAAUCCUGUACCUGUCUCAGAUCAGUCUAGUGCUUUAUUAAAUAGAUGGGUCUUUUCCUCCAGACUGGGAAAUACUUUCUAAGGUCAAUUCAGAUCCCAUCUAAGCUUUCCAACCCCCUUCCAGCACUACAGUUCACUCAGGACUCCAUAAAAGACUAUCUAACUCUUCAUGGGUUACUGGUUCAUCUUGGGAAGUCAUCCAAGCUCCCGGGUAAAAUGACUGCCUGUGAUACCACAAACAAGGAUUCAGUCUGCAAAUAAAUUCAAGAUCAGCUUCUCACAAAAACAAGAAUAGUCGUGCUGCUACUCACAGUUUCAAGAAGGAACAGCGCUUGGUUUCCACCAGUAUCUCUGAAGACUUCCAAUACGUAUUUUAAGAGCUCGGGAGCAGAUGGAAACCAGUUUGACUCUUACCCUUGUAUACGUAUCUCUUGUGCCAACUGAGAGUAAACAACUCCCAAAACCUGGGGUUUCUCCUUUAGGUUUCUUGCAUCAACACUGCAACUUCUUUAUAACCACCAAAAGAGGCCAUUCUGCUCAAUUCACACAGUUCAGUCCGUCUUUUACAUAGCCCUGUUCCAUGACCACAAAAGAUUUAGUUUUCCUGAAUCCCUAAAUGAACUGAGACCCAAGUGCCACUUCCAGGGCAGCAUACACUGUUAGCAUGCCAGUCCUGAGAAGAACACUGCCUAUCUUCCACAGGGCAUUUGACAGUAUCCAAGUACCAAACACGACAAUGAUCCAGAUAGAGUACAACCACAUUAUUCCAAGUACAGGAACUCACAUGCUAUGCCUUAGGACCUUUUCCACCUCAAGUAUUCAGCCUCAGGAAGGACACCAUUCAUUUGCUUUUCCAGUGCCAGAGCAAAUUAAUGAAGUACCUUACCAACUGACAUCAGAGCUCAGAAGUUUCAGUGUUGUCAAAACAAAGCUUAAAAUAGCCACAUAGAUAAUAUUUAAGUGUUUGCCAACAAAUGUAAACGGCAAUGUUUCUUAUUUACCAGACUUCGCUAAACGGUACAACUGUGCAAGAAAGGGUUCCUGCCCAUUGGUCUUAGAAGUCAAACAGACACAAUACAGAAAAUGCUCAAGGAAAGGAUGCAGAGUAAUAACAAAGCAUAAGUGAUGUUUAGUAGACCAUUUGUGAAUGUCACA